Molecule: ribosomal RNA, 253 nt
Filed under: uncultured bacterium
Lineage: Bacteria
Description: partial 16S ribosomal RNA
Rfam family: Bacterial small subunit ribosomal RNA
Source: RNAcentral
GACAGAGGGGGCAAGCGUUGCUCGGAAUUAUUGGGCGUAAAGAGCUCGUAGGCGGUUUGGCGCGUCGUUCGUGAAAACUCACAGCUUAACUGUGAGCUUGCGGUCGAUACGGGCAGGCUAGAGUUCGGUAGGGGAGACUGGAAUUCCUGGUGCAGCGGUGAAAUGCGCAGAUAUCAGGAGGAACACCGGUGGCGAAGGCGGGUCUCUGGGCCGAUACUGACGCUGAGGAGCGAAAGCGUGGGGAGCGAACAGG